RNAcentral lists this ribosomal RNA (425 nucleotides) under uncultured bacterium. RNAcentral describes it as "partial 16S ribosomal RNA". It matches the Rfam family "Bacterial small subunit ribosomal RNA", at positions 354 to 796 of the family's 1533-position model. The record is from RNAcentral.
GUGGGGAAUCUUAGACAAUGGGGGCAACCCUGAUCUAGCCAUGCCGCGUGAUCGAUGAAGGCCUUAGGGUUGUAAAGAUCUUUCAGCUGGGAAGAUAAUGACGGUACCAGCAGAAGAAGCCCCGGCUAACUCCGUGCCAGCAGCCGCGGUAAUACGGAGGGGGCUAGCGUUGUUCGGAAUUACUGGGCGUAAAGCGCACGUAGGCGGAUUGGAAAGUUGGGGGUGAAAUCCCGGGGCUCAACCCCGGAACUGCCUUCAAAACUCCCAGUCUUGAGGGCGAGAGAGGUGAGUGGAAUGCCGAGUGUAGAGGUGAAAUUCGUAGAUAUUCGGAGGAACACCAGUGGCGAAGGCGGCUCACUGGCUCGAUACUGACGCUGAGGUGCGAAAGCGUGGGGAGCAAACAGGAUUAGAAACCCUAGUAGUCC